This 326-nucleotide long non-coding RNA is filed under the name Homo sapiens (human). Its description in RNAcentral is "HSALNT0340784". The record is from RNAcentral. Lineage: Eukaryota; Metazoa; Chordata; Mammalia; Primates; Hominidae.
UUACGAUCCAGCACAUACACUGUGACUUCUAUUAUAAUCAGAGGACCUGCUGGGCCCUGGAGAUGAAAAGGCUAUGUUUUCUGGCAAUGAACAUAGAAAGAAGUUUUGCUUGACAGAGAAGGUUUGGGAGCUGGUUUCUUCUUUAUCUACCUGGUACUUAUCAUGAAAGUAAAUAAUGGUUAUAGAAGGCACUCAUUCAUCACUCAGUCAUCUCUGUCAUAACUCAAUUGCUGCAACAGUGGUACCACUUCUACACAUGCUAUGAAAGAACCAGCAUAAUCACUCUUUAAAGUCAUUACAGAUUAAACAAAUAACAGUGAAGCACA